Molecule: long non-coding RNA, 2054 nt
Filed under: Marmota monax (woodchuck)
Lineage: Eukaryota; Metazoa; Chordata; Mammalia; Rodentia; Sciuridae
Source: RNAcentral
CACAGAGCAUAGCAUGAAAGGUCAGUGUGAUUCCAAGACUCCCCAGUGCCUUUGUCUUUUCUCUCCUGACUCUAGCACCUUUUUUAUCUGGAACCUUUCCUCUGAUAUCAUCUUUAGAAGGUAGGGUGCAAAGAAAAUUAUUUUGUUUGCUCCAUUCUCCUCCCACAAGCAUCACAGUCAUUCUCCUGUAAGAAGAUGUAAGAGAAGUACCUUCAGGACUGCCUGAAUUGAUGGACUUGGGGAAAAAAUCAGGACCUGCUGUAAGGACAAGCUGCUGAUGGAGAAGAAGAAAAUCCCAGGAAAAGGAAAUGCAGCCCAACAGGAAUCCAGAAGGACAAGGGAAGGGCCUCAAGAGAUCCAAACUUACAAUUUAGUCUAAGUACCUAUAUCUACCCCAUGGUCACACAGCCAGCACCAUCAUCUCAUUCACAGCCACCAUCUUAGCCAUUGUCCCCAAAGCAUCUUGCACACCUUCAACCUGAUCUCAGCAUCCUGAAGAUACUAACAGUCUCCUUUUCUCUUCCACUGGUGGUCUUGUAUCCCUGCUACAGUACAGCUCUGACGCUAUAUGUCUCUAUCAACUCCCUUCUUUGAUUAGGGGCCUUACUUCCUCUUAGACUACUUGCUUCUCUCAGAUUUGCUUUUUCUUCUAACUAUGCCUGUGUCCUCUUGUCAUCCCUCAAGUCCUGGAAAUGGAGACCAAGUAUGAUUCAUCUGCAUCCUUAGAGCUCAGUACAAAGUCUGACAGAACAAGGGCUAAAUCUUGUGACUAAGUUGCAUCCUAGACAGUAGGUUAUCAGUAGAUGCCGAUUGAUUGGUUUUCAACUCUGUCAUUUAAUAAAGAUGUUUCUUGGAUUAGUUUACUGAUGUCUUCCAGGUUAAAAGAAAGAGAAAGACCAUGCUUCCUCCCAAUAUCUAAAUGGAGGGCAGAUAAUAAGUAUGGAACAGCAAGGUUUAUCAUAAGGCAAGUUGAUGUCCUUGAGGUACAGAUCCCAGUGAAUGCAAUGGAAAGAACUUUCAAAGAUAAAUAGUAAUAAUAAAUAAAUAAAUGUAAUAAAGAACUAACUGUGCAGUGUUGAAGGGGAGAGCAUACUUCAAGAAAAAUUGGUGCAGGAAAAUCAAUACCUAUGUAUACCUUGGUUAAGUUAUCAAACUCCAAGGAUAAAAAAAAAUUCAAGCAUUUAAGAAGAAAAAUUCUUCUCAGCAUUAUUCAAUGUCACAACAUGAUGGGACAAUGUCUCUGAAGUCAUUUAAGAUGAAACACAACAGGCAAUUGUUCUCAGACAUGAAGGAGCUCAGGCAGUAGAGCACCUGUGAGCUCUUCAUUAAAAACUUAUCACAGCCGGGUGCAAUGGUGCACACCUGUAAUCCCAGUGGCUAUGUAGGUUGAGACAGGAGGAUCCAGAGUUCAAAGCCAUCCUCAGCAACAGUGAGGCACUAAGCAACGCAUUGAGACCCUGUCUCUAAAUAAAAUACAAAAUAGGGCUGGGGAUGUGACUCCAUGGUUGAGUGACCCUGAGUUCAAUCCCCGGUACUCCACCCCACACACACACACACACACACAAAAAAAAAAAAACGACUACAGUGUUGAAGAGAUAGCAUGAAUGAGGCUAUGGGUUCAACCCCUAGUGCUGCAAACAAACCAAAACAAAACAAAAGCUCUGCUAUGUAGCCCAUAAUCUCAGUUAUUUGAGAGCUGAGGCAGGAAGAUCGCAAGUUUGAGGCCAGCCUGGGCAAUUUAGCAAGAUCCUGUCUAAAAAUAAAAAGGUUUGGGGAUGCAGCUCAGUGGUAGGGUACCCCUGGGUCCAAUCCUCAGUACUAAAAAAAGAAAGAAAAAGGACAAUGAUAAAACAGUAAACAAUCCACUUAAACAUGGAAUCCAGACUAAAGAACUCUGGGGCUUAUCACUACAGAAUAGAAAUUUAUGUUCUAAACUUUGACAAAGUAAAAUUAAUAAUACAAAUAACAAAUUUGCUCUGAAGAUCAAAGGGAAGUGAGAAGAAGUGUGCAAAAGUUAAUAUCCUAAAGUUAAUAUCCUCUAAAAUUAAAAUGAG